Long non-coding RNA from Physella acuta, 351 nucleotides. RefSeq lists it as uncharacterized. Lineage: Eukaryota; Metazoa; Mollusca; Gastropoda; Physidae. The record is from RefSeq and is a predicted model, not a curated record.
GAUGACUCCUAACAAUCACCACAUCAUGUGCUAUGAUUUAAGCCCAGAUAUCACAAUCAGCUAUUCUACAAACGGGAUGGAUCAUUUGAAAGAAUACUCUUGGAUUGUUUAUGUGGCAGCAGCGAUCAUCACUGCUUUUCACAUAGGCUGAGCUGCAAGAAGAACUCUUGUAAAAUGUGGUUUUUCCUUAUAAAAAUGAAGGAGAAACGUAAAAAAUCAGUAAGCAACAGCUAUCAAUUUUGCGGCCUAUCUAAUCUAAAGAGAAUACAGAUUGCAAUGAAUGAGCUUUAACAUUUUUACAUGUUGGUUCUGUGAUAGGAUAUGUGGAACUAAAAUAAAUUUAGAGCAACU